GUAAGAAUAUAGAAAACUUGAACAUUAUCAACCAACUUGAACGAACUGACAUGUAUAGGACACUCCACCAAUAGCACUUUCCAAGCACUCAGGAAACAUUCACCAAGAUAGGUCGUAUGUUGGGCCAUAAAACAAGUUUCAGUAAUUUCAAAAGAUUUAAACUAUAGAAAGCAUGCACUGAUAAAAAUAGAAUUAAACUAAAAAUUAUAGAAACCUAUGUGGGAAAACCCCAAAUAUUUGGAAACUAAACACGUUUCAAAACAUGGUAUGAUUUAGCCUUUAAAAUGAUCUCUCAUACUGCUAAGUGGAAAAUAAAUGAGAAAGACAAGGGCAAAUGCAGGGAAACCCUUUAAGAGGCAUUUACAGUUGAGUGUCAUGGACUAGAGUGGUAGUGGUGGUGGCAAUGAGAAGGAGUCAACUGUGAAAGGCAAGUUAAGAUUUGCUCAUAAACUGAAUGUUGGGAUGAAAAAGUGGAUGACACCAAGAUUUUCAGCUUGAAUGAAACUAUUGAAGGCUAGGAGUUGAUAUUUAUUAAGAUGGGUGCGCUAGUAAAAGGAUUUGAGGGGAAAGAUUAGGGGUUUUGAACUUGUAAAAAUUGAGAUGCUGUAGACACACAGACACAUCCAAGAAGAAAAGUCAAAUAGAUAGUUGAAAUCCAGUGUUCCCAGGGUAUGUGGGCUAAAUAUAUUUUGGGCUUCUAUCAGCAUAUAGAUACUAGACUAACUGAGAUCAGGAGUCACUGCAGAUAGAGCAGGGGUCCAGAAUUGAACAUUGGGACAUUCCAAAUUUAGAGGUUGGAAGAAUGAGGAAGGACCAGUGGACAUGAAGAGCAGCAAGGCAGAAGUGAGAUACUGAAAGAUGGGAAGUUCAUAAGGAAGAAAGUGAGCAAUUCAUCAAAUUCUAACAUGGGAUUGAAAAUUGAUCACAGGAAGUGGUUGCAUGAGGCUGGAGUAAAGGGAGUUGCGGACAAGGCAGCAUGGUGACCAGCAGAGUGAGGAAAGGAGAUGAAAUAGAGAAAUAAAGUAAGUAUACUUAAUGGGCACCCUGGCCCCA
This 1053-nucleotide long non-coding RNA is filed under the name Homo sapiens (human). Its description in RNAcentral is "non-protein coding SNRK-AS1:1". Lineage: Eukaryota; Metazoa; Chordata; Mammalia; Primates; Hominidae. The record is from RNAcentral.